AUUGAACGCUGGCGGCCGGCCUAACACAUGCCAGUUGAACGAGUGGCGGACGGGUUAGUAAUGUCUGGGAAACUGCCUGAUGGCGGGGGAUACCUACUGGAAACGGUAGCUAAUCCCGCAUACCAUCAGAUGUGCCCAGAUGGGAUUAGCUUGUUGGUUGGGUAACGGCUCACCAAGGCGACGAUCCCUAGCUGGUCUGAGCGGAUGACCAGCAACACUGGAAAUGAGACACGGUCCAGAGUCCUACGGGAGGCAGCAGGGGGAAAUAUGGCACAAUGGGCGAAAGCCUGAUGCAGCCAUGCGGCGUGUAUGAAGAAGGCCUUCGGGUUGUAAAGUACUUUCAGCGGGGAGGAGUUACCCGCAGAAGAAGCACCGGCUAACUCCGUGCCAGCCGCCGCGGUAAUAC
RNAcentral lists this ribosomal RNA (406 nucleotides) under uncultured bacterium. Its description in RNAcentral is "partial 16S ribosomal RNA". It matches the Rfam family "Bacterial small subunit ribosomal RNA", at positions 30 to 526 of the family's 1533-position model. The record is from RNAcentral.